This 340-nucleotide unclassified non-coding RNA is filed under the name Trechispora sp. RNAcentral describes it as "partial contains 5.8S ribosomal RNA, internal transcribed spacer 2, and large subunit ribosomal RNA". The stretch from base 1 to 71 matches the Rfam family "5.8S ribosomal RNA", at positions 84 to 154 of the family's 154-position model. The record is from RNAcentral. Lineage: Eukaryota; Fungi; Basidiomycota; Agaricomycetes; Trechisporales; Hydnodontaceae.
GUGAAUCAUCGAAUCUUUGAACGCACCUUGCGCUCCUUGGUAUUCCGAGGAGCAUGCCUGUUUGAGUGUCUUGAAGUCAUCAACUCCAUCCGUUUUUGAAACGGUUUGUGUGUUGGAAGUUGGGGGUCUGCUGCCAAGUGGCUGCUCCCCUCAAAAGCUUCGGUUGGGCCUGUGGGUCGAACUCGACUGGGCGUUGUACCAUCCUCGCUCCGAACGAGAUGUUCCCCUUUGCGUGCCCCACUUGGACCUGCCUAAUUGGAGAGGCGGUCAAGCCUUUGAAAUCUGACCUCAAAUCAGGUAGGACUACCCGCUGAACUUAAGCAUAUCAAUAAGCGGAGGA